This 482-nucleotide ribosomal RNA is filed under the name uncultured bacterium. RNAcentral describes it as "partial 16S ribosomal RNA". It matches the Rfam family "Bacterial small subunit ribosomal RNA", at positions 28 to 507 of the family's 1533-position model. The record is from RNAcentral.
GAUGAACGCUGGCGGCGUGCCUAAUACAUGCAAGUCGAACGCUUCACUUCGGUUAAGAUUGGCGGACGGGGGGGUAAUACGUAAGUAACCUGGCAUCUACAGGGGGAUAACUUAUGGAAACAUCUUCUAAAACCGCAUAUGUGUAGAGAUCGCAUGUACUCUAUAUGAAAAGUGCUACGGGACUUGUAGAUGAUGGACUUAUGGCGCAUUAGCUUGUUGGUAGGGUAACGGCCUACCAAGGCGACGAUGCGUAGCCGACCUGAGAGGGUGACCGGCCACACUGGGACUGAGACACGGCCCAGACUCCUACGGGAGGCAGCAGUAGGGAAUUUUCGGCAAUGGGGGAAAGCCUGACCGAGCAACGCCGCGUGAAGGAAGAAGUAAUUCGUUACGUAAACUUCUGUCAUAGAGGAAGAACGGUGGAUAUAGGGAAUGAUAUCCAAGUGACGGUACUCUAUAAGAAAGCAACGGCUAACUACGUG